GACGAACGCUGGCGGCGUGCCUAAUACAUGCAAGUCGAACGCUUCUUUUUCCACCGGAGCUUGCUCCACCGGAAAAAGAGGAGUGGCGAACGGGUGAGUAACACGUGGGUAACCUGCCCAUCAGAAGGGGAUAACACUUGGAAACAGGUGCUAAUACCGUAUAACAAUCGAAACCGCAUGGUUUUGAUUUGAAAGGCGCUUUCGGGUGUCGCUGAUGGAUGGACCCGCGGUGCAUUAGCUAGUUGGUGAGGUAACGGCUCACCAAGGCCACGAUGCAUAGCCGACCUGGGAGGGUGAACGGCCACAUUGGGACUGAGACACGGCCCAAACUCCUACGAGAGGCAGCAGUAGGGAAUCUUCGGCAAUGGACGAAAGUCUGACCGAGCAACGCCGCGUGAGUGAAGAAGGUUUUCGGAUCGUAAAACUCUGUUGUUAGAGAAGAACAAGGAUGAGAGUAACUGUUCAUCCCUUGACGGUAUCUAACCAGAAAGCCACGGCUAACUACGUGCCAGCCGCCGCGGUAA
RNAcentral lists this ribosomal RNA (524 nucleotides) under uncultured bacterium. RNAcentral describes it as "partial 16S ribosomal RNA". It matches the Rfam family "Bacterial small subunit ribosomal RNA", at positions 28 to 523 of the family's 1533-position model. The record is from RNAcentral.